RNAcentral lists this ribosomal RNA (396 nucleotides) under Triticum aestivum (bread wheat). Its description in RNAcentral is "partial small subunit ribosomal RNA". Lineage: Eukaryota; Viridiplantae; Streptophyta; Magnoliopsida; Poales; Poaceae. The record is from RNAcentral.
AUGGUGUUGUUAGCAGAAUGUGGCUUGGAUGAUAUGGGGUUCAUAGGCGACCCCUUUACAUGGAGGAGAGGUGAGAUUAGGGAACGUCUUGACCAUGCAGUAUGUAAUGUACAAUGGGCUCAUAAAUUUCCUCGGGCGGCUGUGAUUAAUGAAAACCAUGUACAUUCUGACCACCGGCCGUUAGUUUUGGAUAUGGAUUAUUUUGACGGUAAUAUGUUUAGGCCGCUGAAUAGUGGUAUUAAAAUUUUUGAAGCCAGAUGGCUUAAAGAAGAAACUGUUAGUGAAAUUGUCAAGACAUCGUGGGAGAAGGCAAAGCUGGCUGGUAUUGGCCCAACGCUCGCAGACAGGACCCGAGAGUACACGCCGAUCUACAUUCCUGGGACCGUGAGAUCUUGA